RNA transcript from Vigna angularis (adzuki bean), 1074 nucleotides. RefSeq lists it as uncharacterized. The record is from RefSeq and is a predicted model, not a curated record. Lineage: Eukaryota; Viridiplantae; Streptophyta; Magnoliopsida; Fabales; Fabaceae. The transcript is spliced from 4 exons.
AAGUAUAGAAAAAUAUUGAGUCCGAAUUAUCAGUCUGUUUCGGCAAGACUUUAACAAUAUAAAUUUUGCUGUAAAUCUUAAUAUUACUUGGCAGAGGCUGCCCUCGUCACUUUAUUAGUGGUGAGAGAAGUGAGUAGGGAGUAGUGAAGUAGUUGUUACAUCGUUGCGUUAGCACUUGGCAGCCUCACGUUACAACGGUGUGAGUGGAGCACGUUAUCCACCCCAGAGAGCGCGAGAGGAGAGAGAAUGACAAUAUCUGUUUUCUCGGUUCCGACGCCUCAGUUGUGCAGCUACAAAAACUCGUGGCCAGCUCCGACCUACCCUUCUCUUUAUUCUUCUUCUUCGAAGUUAACUGUUACACUGUGCUCUCCUUCUACUCCAGCUUCUGUUAUCGAUGAGGGUACUUCUCCUGCGCCAGACGAUAUUCCUCUUGUUGAUCGGUCAGAAUUCGUGAGCGGUUGUAAGGCAUGUGGAAGAGAAGAAAUAGAGAAAGGAUGCAAUGGUGAAGGAAGGAUUCAGGGUGGAAUUGCAACAGUGCCAGGGUUUGGGUGGUGGCCUAUAAAGGCUUACAGGCCAUGCCCUGCAUUUGUGGCAUCGGGUGGUAGGUAUAGGCGACAAGGACAAAGCAUGGACGAGGUUGUCUCUGGAAGUGGUAAAACAUCCACAAUAGGAACUGCCAGUGACUCGAAGAAAAGCAUUCAUCUCUAAAGUAAGGACAACAUUCACUCUGUUGGAUUUCGCUUCCCCGGGAUUCUAAUAUCACUUUUUGAUUGCUCGUUGAUGAAUACCCCUUUGGUCUGUAACAAAAAGGAAAGUGUGAAGAAAUCUAAUAGGUAAAGUGGUUGGGAGGACUAUUCAACUUUGAGGUGACAAAAGCAAAAGCUACAAGGGAGAGGGGGGUAAAGAAAAUGUUGGUGAUGCUCUGGUCUGCUACAAAUAAUGGUAAAUUCAAUAUUGUGUAAGGAUUGUGGAAAUCUAUGUACGUCUUAUAAAUGCAUUGGUAAAUAGGGUGAUGUCAUGUGAUGUAUGCAUUGGUAAAUUAUUUCUCUGAAUCACGUUAGCUUUUUCCGUUCA